AAAACCAUGUCCAACAUUAGUUUGGACAUUACAAAAUCAAUCAUGUCAAACAUGAAACACCAGUCUGUAUAACAAGCUUAGCCUGUAUAACAGGAGACUAUGCAUAAAAUAGCAAACUUGAUGGAAAACAGCAAGUGAAACACCAAAACUUAUGAAAAAUAUUAUCUCACCAACAUCAGUCUCCAAUUUUGUAUCAUUUAAGUCAGAAACAAGCUUAGUGAUAGAUUCCUUUGUCCCAUUCUGGAAACAGUAAAAAUAAAGUAAUUAGAGGAAACUAAAGUGAAAGCAAUGAAAGGAUACAAUAGCUAAACAACUGCAGUAUUCACCAACCAGCACAAGAUGCUAACAAAAAGAAUAGACAGAAAGCUAAAGGACCUUCACAGAACCCAGGCCAAACUAAAGUUGAGAAGAGCACAUAAAAUAAACCGGACUACAAUUUAAAUAGUAUAACAAAAAAAAUAACUAGCAGGACUUGUGAAAAGGUUAAAACAGUGUCCAGAGAAUAAAGAGUUCAUAACAAGAAAGAGUAUGGGAUAAAAAAACAUUGCCAAUUGUUGCAAUGAGACAGAUAAAAAUAGUACAGUUAAACAUUUAAAAAUAAGAAACACAACCACACAGCAAUACCAAUAUAAAGAAAAGGAACACAUCUGAAUACCCAGCACAGGAUUGAAAUUUUCCAGAACUUAUGUGAUGGUAUGGAGAUGAUUGACCAAAUAAAAAAAAUCAUUCACCAAAUCUGGCAAAUUUAUAAACACGUUACUAUGAAAGGUUACAAGAUGCCUCAGGGAAUGAGGUCAAUAACAAUUAAUGCAAAGAGAUUAAUUUACAAAGUAUAUAAAAAAAAUCUACAAUAUAGGUAAAAAAGGAACAUAUUCAAGCAGAUUUAAAAUGUGUUCUAAAUAGGUAACUGCAUCUUCUUCUUAUUUUUCCAGAUUUAAUACUAAGUAUUGUGCCAAACAAGAUGGCAAUGUCUAAAUCAAUUGCAAAGGCAUCUAUAAUGGUCUAACAAAAUUUUUGUUCAAGAUCAAGUCCAUUCAAUAAAUACAGAAAUUAAUGAGGAAACAAUUAGCUACAAAUAACAAUGAUAGUGAUA
This 1093-nucleotide unclassified non-coding RNA is filed under the name Hevea brasiliensis (rubber tree). Lineage: Eukaryota; Viridiplantae; Streptophyta; Magnoliopsida; Malpighiales; Euphorbiaceae. The record is from RNAcentral.